This 1456-nucleotide long non-coding RNA is filed under the name Salmo trutta (river trout). RNAcentral's name for it is "lncRNA (ENSSTUG00000049847.1)". Lineage: Eukaryota; Metazoa; Chordata; Actinopteri; Salmoniformes; Salmonidae. The record is from RNAcentral.
GACAAAGUGAACAUUUGUGGAAGUCCGGAUCUACCCCUUAGUGAGUGUUAAUUGACCCCUCUCCCUCUUUACCUCAGCCCACCGACCAGCAGGGCAUUCAUGACACGGGUAGGGGUGCAGCUCUGCACCAUGUGACCCAGGGCAAAGUUGGCGGCCUGCCGGAUGAAGUUGUUGGCCUCGCUGGCUUUGUGCAGCAGCACGCGUGCCGUGCCGUCCCCUCCACCUCACUGUCCAUGGCCCUCUGGAGGUGAACGUACAUGUCACCCAGUGUGGCCAUGGCAGCACAGGACACUGCAGAGCGCAGGUUCUUCACCUGAAUUGGCAAGGCAGAUAUCAUGGAGUUUAGGCAUCAGUAUGUCCAUGUGGUUCUGAGCCAUCACACGGACAGAGGUCAAGCCCUCGAUCUUCUUCUCCCUGCAAUUCAGUGAAAGAAACGUAAGCAAUUUCCACAACAUUUUCCAAAAACAUUAUAAUGAUGUUCAUCAAUUAGGACUCUGGUCUCUUAAUUUCAGAAGUUUCUACGCUCUGUAGCUCAAAUCUACAUUUCCAAGGACACUACACUGUGCUUCCUUUAGCCUAGCUCCAUUGGUCUUGUCUACAGUGAAUGCUCACCAGUCAUCAGAGGCAGAGUGGAGCAGCUUGAAGGUCUUAGUCAGGGCCUGCUCUGGGUUGGACAGGGGCUGCAAUCUGGCCUGGUCCUGACUUUUCUUUAUUUGGCCCUUUGGCUCACUGGCUGCCUUCUUGUCUAUGGGUUGACAGCAGACAUCUAUCUCUCUGUGAACUGUAUUUAUGUAUUUACUCAUUUCCAUAUCUGUUUGUAGCUUUUAACACUAGAACAUCUUAGUUCAUUAUGAUAUCAUUUUAAAUUUAGCACACAUUUUUUGGUGCUCACCCUGCUCAGAAGCAGGGUCUAAUUCGCCUUGAGCAAAGGUUAUCUCACUGUGCAACAGGCAAAGCAAGUGUGGAAAAAUGUCUUAGCCCUGGGCUAAAGCCAUUUGUGUCCCUUCACUUCCUACUAUGAGUCUACCUAGCUUCAUCUCGCUGUCUAAUUUAAAUUAGUGUGAGUACAUGAGAGGGACUGACCUGAGCCGGUGUCAGCCUUUUGCAGGCUAAGGAACCUUGUAGGCCGAGGCAGUUUGCUCCUGGGCUUGGUAGGAGGGGGAGCAGGCCUGGGUGGGCUGUCACACGACUUUACCGGGGUCCCAACAUCCAAGUAGUCACGGAGCUCCGCAGGGGUGUUCAUAUCCACUGAGCUCAGGCUUCCCAGAGAGCUGGUGGCUAUUUCCCCCAUGGACAUGGCCGAGCCCAAACUUCUCCUGCCCAUGGCCUUCACCUCAUGUACCACCUUUGGCGUAGACCAGAAAAGAUUGCUCCCAUCAUAGAAAUGCAUGUAGAACUAGUAUAUACAUAAACUAAUACACAGAGAUCCUGUAUUCUAGGAUCUAUUCUAUCAUGC